This 446-nucleotide ribosomal RNA is filed under the name uncultured bacterium. RNAcentral describes it as "partial 16S ribosomal RNA". It matches the Rfam family "Bacterial small subunit ribosomal RNA", at positions 338 to 795 of the family's 1533-position model. The record is from RNAcentral.
CCUACGGGGGGCAGCAGUCGAGAAUCAUUCACAAUGGGGGAAACCCUGAUGGUGCGACGCCGCGUGGGAGAAUGAAGGUCUUCGGAUUGUAAACCCCUGUCAUGUGGGAGCAAAUUAAAAAGAUAGUACCACAAGAGGAAGAGACGGCUAACUCUGUGCCAGCAGCCGCGGUAAUACAGAGGUCUCAAGCGUUGUUCGGAAUCACUGGGCGUAAGGCGUGCGUAGGCUGUUUCGUAAGUCGUGUGUGAAAGGCGCGGGCUCAACCCGCGGACGGCACAUGAUACUGCGAGACUAGAGUAAUGGAGGGGGAACCGGAAUUCUCGGUGUAGCAGUGAAAUGCGUAGAUAUCGAGAGGAACACUCGUGGCGAAGGCGGGUUCCUGGACAUUAACUGACGCUGAGGCACGAAGGCCAGGGGAGCGAAAGGGAUUAGAUACCCGAGUAGUC